GCGGGUGUGGUGAAACGAUUAUCACAUCAGCCUUCCAAGCUGAGGUUACGGGUUUGAUUCCCGUCACCCGCACCA
This 75-nucleotide transfer RNA is filed under the name Candidatus Saccharimonadota bacterium. RNAcentral describes it as "tRNA-Gly". It matches the Rfam family "tRNA". Rfam says of the family: Transfer RNA (tRNA) molecules are approximately 80 nucleotides in length. Their secondary structure includes four short double-helical elements and three loops (D, anti-codon, and T loops). Lineage: Bacteria; Candidatus Saccharimonadota. The record is from RNAcentral.